GAUGAACGCUAGCUGCAGGCUUAACACAUGCAAGUCGAGGGGAAACGGCAUUGAGUGCUUGCACUCUUUGGACGUCGACCGGCGCACGGGUGAGUAACGCGUAUCCAACCUUCCCAUUACUGUGGGAUAACCUGCCGAAAGGCAGACUAAUACCGCAUAGUCUUCGAUGACGGCAUCAGAUUUGAAGUAAAGAUUUAUCGGUAAUGGAUGGGGAUGCGUCUGAUUAGCUUGUUGGCGGGGUAACGGCCCACCAAGGCUACGAUCAGUAGGGGUUCUGAGAGGAAGGUCCCCCACAUUGGAACUGAGACACGGUCCAAACUCCUACGGGAGGCAGCAGUGAGGAAUAUUGGUCAAUGGACGGAAGUCUGAACCAGCCAAGUAGCGUGCAGGAUGACGGCCCUAUGGGUUGUAAACUGCUUUUGUAUGGGGAUAAAGUUAGGGACGUGUCCCUAUUUGCAGGUACCAUACGAAUAAGGACCGGCUAAUUCCGUG
This 492-nucleotide ribosomal RNA is filed under the name uncultured bacterium. Its description in RNAcentral is "partial 16S ribosomal RNA". It matches the Rfam family "Bacterial small subunit ribosomal RNA", at positions 28 to 507 of the family's 1533-position model. The record is from RNAcentral.